GUCUAUGGCCAUGCCACCCUGAACUUGCCUGAUCUUGUCUGAUCUCGAAAGCUAAGCAGAGUCGGGCCUGGUUAGUACUUGGAUGGGAGACCACCUAGGAAGACCAGGUGCUGUAGGCA
Molecule: ribosomal RNA, 119 nt
Filed under: Pteropus alecto (black flying fox)
Lineage: Eukaryota; Metazoa; Chordata; Mammalia; Chiroptera; Pteropodidae
Source: RNAcentral